UGCUUCUAUCAAUCUUAGUGGCGAACGGGUGAGUAACGCGUAAUCAACCUGCCCUUCAGAGGGGGACAACAGUUGGAAACGACUGCUAAUACCGCAUACGAUCUAAUCUCGGCAUCGAGGAUAGAUGAAAGGUGGCCUCUACAUGUAAGCUAUCACUGAAGGAGGGGAUUGCGUCUGAUUAGCUAGUUGGAGGGGUAACGGCCCACCAAGGCGAUGAUCAGUAGCCGGUCUGAGAGGAUGAACGGCCACAUUGGGACUGAGACACGGCCCAGACUCCUACGGGAGGCAGCAGUGGGGAAUCUUCCGCAAUGGACGAAAGUCUGACGGAGCAACGCCGCGUGAGUGAUGACGGCCUUCGGGUUGUAAAGCUCUGUUAAUCGGGACGAAAGGCCUUCUUGCGAAUAGUA
This 407-nucleotide ribosomal RNA is filed under the name Veillonella parvula. Its description in RNAcentral is "bacterial SSU rRNA". It matches the Rfam family "Bacterial small subunit ribosomal RNA", at positions 77 to 468 of the family's 1533-position model. Lineage: Bacteria; Bacillati; Bacillota; Negativicutes; Veillonellales; Veillonellaceae. The record is from RNAcentral.